AACGAACGCUGGCGGCAUGCCUAACACAUGCAAGUCGAACGAGACCUUCGGGUCUAGUGGCGCACGGGUGCGUAACGCGUGGGAACCUGCCCUUAGGUUCGGAAUAACUCCCCGAAAGGGGUGCUAAUACCGUAUAAUGUCUUCGGACCAAAGAUUUAUCGCCUUUGGAUGGGCCCGCGUUGGAUUAGCUAGUUGGUAGGGUAAAAGCCUACCAAGGCGACGAUCCAUAGCUGGUCUGAGAGGAUGAUCAGCCACACUGGGACUGAGACACGGCCCAGACUCCUACGGGAGGCAGCAGUGGGGAAUAUUGGACAAUGGGCGAAAGCCUGAUACAGCAAUGCCGCGUGAGUGAUGAAGGCCUUAGGGUUGUAAAGCUCUUUUACCCGGGAUGAUAAUGACAGUACCGGGAGAAUAAGCUCCGGCUAACUCCGUG
RNAcentral lists this ribosomal RNA (433 nucleotides) under uncultured bacterium. Its description in RNAcentral is "partial 16S ribosomal RNA". It matches the Rfam family "Bacterial small subunit ribosomal RNA", at positions 29 to 507 of the family's 1533-position model. The record is from RNAcentral.